CCUACGGGGGGCUGCAGUGGGGAAUCUUCCGCAAUGGACGAAAGUCUGACGGAGCAACGCCGCGUGAGUGAUGACGGCCUUCGGGUUGUAAAGCUCUGUUAAUCGGGACGAAAGGCCUUCUUGCGAAUAGUGAGAAGGAUUGACGGUACCGGAAUAGAAAGCCACGGCUAACUACGUGCCAGCAGCCGCGGUAAUACGUAGGUGGCAAGCGUUGUCCGGAAUUAUUGGGCGUAAAGCGCGCGCAGGCGGAUAGGUCAGUCUGUCUUAAAAGUUCGGGGCUUAACCCCGUGAUGGGAUGGAAACUGCCAAUCUAGAGUAUCGGAGAGGAAAGUGGAAUUCCUAGUGUAGCGGUGAAAUGCGUAGAUAUUAGGAAGAACACCAGUGGCGAAGGCGACUUUCUGGACGAAAACUGACGCUGAGGCGCGAAAGCCAGGGGAGCGAACGGGAUUAGAUACCCGGGUAGUC
This 465-nucleotide ribosomal RNA is filed under the name uncultured Veillonella sp. RNAcentral describes it as "bacterial SSU rRNA". It matches the Rfam family "Bacterial small subunit ribosomal RNA", at positions 338 to 795 of the family's 1533-position model. The record is from RNAcentral. Lineage: Bacteria; Bacillati; Bacillota; Negativicutes; Veillonellales; Veillonellaceae.